CCUACGGGAGGCAGCAGUGGGGGAUAUUGCACAAUGGGGGAAACCCUGAUGCAGCGACGCCGCGUGUGGGAAGACGGUCCUCUGGAUUGUAAACCACUGUCGCCAGGGAGGAAGAUGACGGUACCGAGGGAGGAAGCUCAGGCCAACUACGUGCCAGCACCCGCGGUACUACGUAGGCAGCGAGCGUUGUCCGGAAUUACGGGGGGUAAAGGGGGCGUAGGCGGGCCUGCAAGUGCGGGGUCAAAUGUUCGGGCUCAACCGGGAGCCGCAGUCAAAACUGCAGGUCUUGAGUGAAGGAGAGGCAGGCGGAAUGCCUGGUGUAGCGGUGAAAUGCGUAGAUAUUAGGAGGAACACCAGUGGCGAAGGCGGCCUACUGGGCUUUUACUGACGCUGAGGCUCGAAAGUGUGGGGAGCGAACAGGAUUAGAUACCCGUGUAGUC
RNAcentral lists this ribosomal RNA (440 nucleotides) under uncultured bacterium. RNAcentral's name for it is "partial 16S ribosomal RNA". It matches the Rfam family "Bacterial small subunit ribosomal RNA", at positions 338 to 795 of the family's 1533-position model. The record is from RNAcentral.